RNAcentral lists this ribosomal RNA (112 nucleotides) under Caerostris darwini. The record is from RNAcentral. Lineage: Eukaryota; Metazoa; Arthropoda; Arachnida; Araneae; Araneidae.
AACGGCCGUACCAUGCUGAAUAUACCGGUUCUCGUUAGAUCACCGAAGUCAAGCAUCAUUGGGCGCGGUCAGUACUUGGGUGGCUGACCACCUGGGAACACCGCGUGCCGUU